CCUACGGGAGGCAGCAGUGGGGAAUAUUGGGCAAUGGGCGCAAGCCUGACCCAGCAACGCCGCGUGAAGGAAGAAGGCUUUCGGGUUGUAAACUUCUUUUAUCAGGGACGAAGCAAGUGACGGUACCUGAGGAAUAAGCCACGGCUAACUACGUGCCAGCAGCCGCGGUAAUACGUAGGUGGCAAGCGUUAUCCGGAUUUACUGGGUGUAAAGGGCGUGUAGGCGGGAGAGCAAGUCAGAUGUGAAAACCAUGGGCUCAACCCAUAGCCUGCAUUUGAAACUGUACUUCUUGAGUGCUGGAGAGGCAAUCGGAAUUCCGAGUGUAGCGGUGAAAUGCGUAGAUAUAAGGAGGAACACCAGUGGCGAAGGCGGAUUGCUGGACAGUAACUGACGCUGAGGCGCGAAAGCGUGGGGAGCAAACAGGAUUAGAUACCCGAGUAGUC
RNAcentral lists this ribosomal RNA (443 nucleotides) under uncultured bacterium. Its description in RNAcentral is "partial 16S ribosomal RNA". It matches the Rfam family "Bacterial small subunit ribosomal RNA", at positions 338 to 795 of the family's 1533-position model. The record is from RNAcentral.